CAACCAUCAAGCAUGGCUUGUCGUUGGACUCUUGUUGCUGUAACACGCGACAAGUCCGAAAGAUAAUGACGGGUGUCGUGUUAGACCCUAGAUGCAACGAGCUUUUUAUAGCACGCAUUGAAGUGGUCGGCCGACCCGGUCUUUAACCAUCAUUUUCUAAGGUUGACCUCGGAUCAGGUAGGAAUACCCGCUGAACUUAA
RNAcentral lists this unclassified non-coding RNA (200 nucleotides) under soil metagenome. Its description in RNAcentral is "partial contains internal transcribed spacer 2 and large subunit ribosomal RNA". The record is from RNAcentral.